This 329-nucleotide ribosomal RNA is filed under the name uncultured eukaryote. Its description in RNAcentral is "partial 18S ribosomal RNA". It matches the Rfam family "Eukaryotic small subunit ribosomal RNA", at positions 1470 to 1796 of the family's 1831-position model. The record is from RNAcentral.
CCCUUAGAUGUUCUGGGCCGCACGCGCGCUACACUGACGAUGGCAACGAGUUUUUCCUUCGCCGAAAGGUGUGGGUAAUCUUUUGAAACAUCGUCGUGCUGGGGAUAGAUCAUUGCAAUUUUUGAUCUUGAACGAGGAAUUCCUAGUAAGCGCGAGUCAUCAGCUCGCGUUGAUUACGUCCCUGCCCUUUGUACACACCGCCCGUCGCUACUACCGAUUGAAUGGUUUAGUGAGAUCUCCGGAUUGGCACCAUCGAGGCUUCACGGCCUUGACGGAAAGUCGAAAAGUUGCUCAAACUUGAUCAUUUAGAGGAAGUAAAAGUCGUAACA